This 608-nucleotide ribosomal RNA is filed under the name Escherichia coli. RNAcentral describes it as "partial 23S ribosomal RNA". It matches the Rfam family "Bacterial large subunit ribosomal RNA", at positions 2191 to 2798 of the family's 2925-position model. The record is from RNAcentral. Lineage: Bacteria; Pseudomonadati; Pseudomonadota; Gammaproteobacteria; Enterobacterales; Enterobacteriaceae.
CUUGAAAUACCACCCUUUAAUGUUUGAUGUUCUAACGUUGGCCCGUAAUCCGGGUUGCGGACAGUGUCUGGUGGGUAGUUUGACUGGGGCGGUCUCCUCCUAAAGAGUAACGGAGGAGCACGAAGGUUGGCUAAUCCUGGUCGGACAUCAGGAGGUUAGUGCAAUGGCAUAAGCCAGCUUGACUGCGAGCGUGACGGCGCGAGCAGGUGCGAAAGCAGGUCAUAGUGAUCCGGUGGUUCUGAAUGGAAGGGCCAUCGCUCAACGGAUAAAAGGUACUCCGGGGAUAACAGGCUGAUACCGCCCAAGAGUUCAUAUCGACGGCGGUGUUUGGCACCUCGAUGUCGGCUCAUCACAUCCUGGGGCUGAAGUAGGUCCCAAGGGUAUGGCUGUUCGCCAUUUAAAGUGGUACGCGAGCUGGGUUUAGAACGUCGUGAGACAGUUCGGUCCCUAUCUGCCGUGGGCGCUGGAGAACUGAGGGGGGCUGCUCCUAGUACGAGAGGACCGGAGUGGACGCAUCACUGGUGUUCGGGUUGUCAUGCCAAUGGCACUGCCCGGUAGCUAAAUGCGGAAGAGAUAAGUGCUGAAAGCAUCUAAGCACGAAACUUGCC